This 440-nucleotide ribosomal RNA is filed under the name Opius youi. Its description in RNAcentral is "partial 16S ribosomal RNA". The record is from RNAcentral. Lineage: Eukaryota; Metazoa; Arthropoda; Insecta; Hymenoptera; Braconidae.
GUCUUAUUGAAAUUAAUUUUAAGUCAAAUCUGCCCAAUGAAUAAAUUUUAAUGGCUGCAAAAUUAAUAAUUGUACAAAGGUAGCAUAAUAAUUUGUUUUUUAAUUAAAAACUAGAAUGAAAGAUUUAAUGAGAUAUAAACUAAUAUCAAAUAAAAUUUUUAUUAAAAUUAUUAUAUAAGUAAAAAAACUUAUAUAUUAAUAAAAGACGACAAGACCCUAUAGAAUUUUAUUUAUAUCAAAUUAAUUUUUUAUAAUUUUUUUUAAAUUUAAAAUUAAUUUAAAUAAAUUUAAUUGGGACAAUUAAAAAAUUAAAAAAAUUUUUUUAUAAAAAAACAUUAAUUAAUGAUUUUUAAAACUUAAAAUUUAAAUAAAUAAAAUUAAUUACCUUAGGGAUAACAGCAUAAUUUUUUUUGAAAGAUCAAAUUUAUAAAAAAGAUUAU